RNAcentral lists this ribosomal RNA (520 nucleotides) under uncultured bacterium. RNAcentral's name for it is "partial 16S ribosomal RNA". It matches the Rfam family "Bacterial small subunit ribosomal RNA", at positions 28 to 523 of the family's 1533-position model. The record is from RNAcentral.
GACGAACGCUGGCGGCGUGCUUAACACAUGCAAGUCGAACAGACUACUUUGCUUCGGUAAGGUGGUUAGUGGCGAACGGGUGAGUAACGCGUAGACAACCUACCUCUUAGAUGGGGACAACAUCGCGAAAGCGGUGCUAACACCGAAUGAAGUGACUUUCCUGCAUGGGAGAGAUACUAAAGGCGGCCUCUAUUUAUAAGCUACCACUGAGAGAUGGGUCUGCGUCUGAUUAGCUAGUUGGCGGGGUAAUGGCCCACCAAGGCGACGAUCAGUAGCCGGUCUGAGAGGAUGAAAGGCCACAUUGGGGCUGAGACACGGCCCAAACUCCUACGGGAGGCAGCAGUGGGGAAUCUUCCGCAAUGGACGAAAGUCUGACGGAGCAACGCCGCGUGAGUGAAGAAGGUUUUCGGAUCGUAAAGCUCUGUUGUUUGAGACGAAUGUGCCUGUUUCAAAUAGGGAUAGGUAAUGACGGUAUUAAACGAGAAAGCCACGGCUAACUACGUGCCAGCAGCCGCCGUAA